This 427-nucleotide ribosomal RNA is filed under the name uncultured bacterium. RNAcentral's name for it is "bacterial SSU rRNA". It matches the Rfam family "Bacterial small subunit ribosomal RNA", at positions 356 to 775 of the family's 1533-position model. The record is from RNAcentral.
GGGGAAUAUUGCGCAAUGGGGGAAACCCUGACGCAGCGACGCCGCGUGAGCGAUGAGGCCUUAGGGUUGUAAAGCUCUGUUUUAAGGGACGAAUGUUACGGGGAGUAAUAUGCCCUGUAAAUGACGGUACCUUAAGAGGAAGCCCCGGCUAACUACGUGCCAGCAGCCGCGGUAAGACGUAGGGGGCGAGCGUUGUCCGGAAUUACUGGGCGUAAAGAGCACGUAGGCGGGACUUUGAGUCAGGUGUGAAAGACCGGGGCUCAACCUCGGGGUGGCACUUGAAACUGGGGUUCUUGAGGGCAGGAGAGGAAAGUAGAAUUCCUGGUGUAGCGGUGAAAUGCGUAGAAAUCAGGAGGAAUACCAGUGGCGAAGGCGACUUUCUGGACUGACCCUGACGCUGAGGUGCGAAAGCGUGGGUAGCAAACAG